UACGUAGGGUGCGAGCGUUGUCCGGAAUUACUGGGCGUAAAGAGCUCGUAGGUGGUUUGUCGCGUUGGUCGUGAAAACCGGGGGCUUAACCCUCGGCGUGCGGGCGAUACGGGCAGACUAGAGUUCGGUAGGGGAGACUGGAAUUCCUGGUGUAGCGGUGAAAUGCGCAGAUAUCAGGAGGAACACCGGUGGCGAAGGCGGGUCUCUGGGCCGAUACUGACGCUGAGGAGCGAAAGCGUGGGGAGCGAACAGG
RNAcentral lists this ribosomal RNA (253 nucleotides) under uncultured bacterium. RNAcentral's name for it is "partial 16S ribosomal RNA". It matches the Rfam family "Bacterial small subunit ribosomal RNA", at positions 524 to 776 of the family's 1533-position model. The record is from RNAcentral.